AGUGAACGCUGGCGGUAUGCCUAACACAUGCAAGUCGAACGGCAGCACAGUAAGAGCUUGCUCUUACGGUUGGCGAGUGGCGGACGGGUGAGGAAUACAUCGGAAUCUACUUUUUCUUGGGGGAUAACGUAGGGAAACUUACGCUAAUACCGCAUACGUCCUACGGGUGAAAGCAGUGGAUCUUCGGACCUUUCGCGAUUGAAUGAGCCGAUGUCGGAUUGGCUAGUUGGCGUGGUAAAGGCCCACCAAGGCAACGAUCCGUAGCUGGUCUGAGAGGAUGAUCAGCCACACUGGAACUGAGACACGGUCCAGACUCCUACGGGAGGCAGCAGUGGGGAAUAUUGGACAAUGGGCGAAAGCCUGACGCAGCAACACCGCGUGAGUGAAGAAGGCCUUCGGGUUGUAAAGCCCUUUUAUUGGGAAAGAAAAGAAGUAGGUUAAUACCCCGCUGUUCUGACGGUACCCAAAGAAUAAGCACCGGCUAACUUCGUG
RNAcentral lists this ribosomal RNA (492 nucleotides) under uncultured bacterium. RNAcentral describes it as "partial 16S ribosomal RNA". It matches the Rfam family "Bacterial small subunit ribosomal RNA", at positions 29 to 507 of the family's 1533-position model. The record is from RNAcentral.